RNAcentral lists this ribosomal RNA (487 nucleotides) under Hemimarginula pumila. Its description in RNAcentral is "partial large subunit ribosomal RNA". It matches the Rfam family "Eukaryotic large subunit ribosomal RNA", at positions 666 to 1139 of the family's 3401-position model. Lineage: Eukaryota; Metazoa; Mollusca; Gastropoda; Lepetellida; Fissurellidae. The record is from RNAcentral.
CCAAGGAGUCCGACACGUGCGCGAGUCAUGGGGUCCUACGAAACCUAAAGGCGCAGCGAAAGCAACGGCGAGAUCCCCACCGAAGGUGGAAGGGGCGCAUCGUCCACCCGUCUCUGUACUGGGGAUGGCGUGUGAGCGCACGUGUCGGGACCCGAAAGAUGGUGAUCUAGGCCUGAGGGGGGCGAAGCCAGAGGAAACUCUGGUGGAGGUCCUAAGCGAUUCUGACGUGCAAAUCGAUCGUGUCACUUGGGCCUAGGGGCGAAAGACCAAUCGAACCAUCUAGUAGCUGGUUCCCUCCGAAGUUUCCCUCAGGACAGCUGGCGCUCGUUUGGGGCAGUUGCAUCCGGUAAAGCGAAUGAUUAGAGGUUCAUGGGGCCGAAACGGCCUCGUCCUAUUCUCAAACUAUAAAUCGGGUGCGAAACCGGGGAGUCUUGCUCUUUUGCGAGAAGCCCGGGUUAGAAUGCGAGUGCUGUGUGGGCCACUUUUG